This is a long non-coding RNA of Salvia splendens (bonfire salvia), 1735 nucleotides long. RefSeq lists it as uncharacterized. The transcript has 2 exons. Lineage: Eukaryota; Viridiplantae; Streptophyta; Magnoliopsida; Lamiales; Lamiaceae. The record is from RefSeq and is a predicted model, not a curated record.
UUUCAUCUUCCCCUCAUUUUGGGAACCCCAAAAAUCGGCAGCCCCUCUACAAAGGCUCCAUGGCCAUUUUUCUUCAAUAUUUCUUAAGUUUGUCGGUGAAUCGGUUUGGUAUUUGCGUAAUUGAAGGGUUAUCGAGGUAGCUCUACGAUCCUAUACUAUUUUAAUAUCUUAAAAAAAUGAUUAAAUGUUGAACUAUAUAUGUUGGAAUUUUCGAAAUUUAUGAGGGUGAAUUAUGCAUGUGAUUUGAUUCUUGCUAUUUUCGUUAAUAUGUAAUAUUAGGAUGUUGUUAAGCAUGGAAAUAAGAUUAGAAUUGAUAAUUCAAGUAUAAUUUGAUAAUUAGUAAUAAGUUAUAGACUAUAGUCGAAGGGGAGGUUGAAUUCGUAUGGCUAAUGAAUUCAUUUAAAAUGUUUGAUCAUGGAUUUGUGAUUUUGGAAUGAAUAUGAGUGUUGAUGUAAAUUGUUGGGAACUUUCUAAGUAAGAUUAGCAAUUGUAGUGCACAAAUUAAAAGAGUAUAUAGUCUCUGAAUAGUAUUAUGUGAAUAAUAUCACAAUAGAGUUUUUAUUUGAAAGACUUAAUGAGCUGAAGUUGGCAAGAAAUAAAUAUAUGAAGUAAAUAAUGGUGUAAGGACUGCAUAUGAUUAAUUUGGGAGCUAAUUAUUGCCAUUUAGUAUUUCUAAUGAAAUUAUAAAGAUGAUAAUUUUUUUUAAAUCCAAAAACAAACUGUAAUAAAUUUAAUUAAGUAGCACCAAAAUUUGGAAUCAAAAAAUAAAAUGAAUAAAAAAAGCAAGAAAUUGAAAAGAAAGUGAUAAAUGAUUAGAAGCAGGCGAGUUGAGCAAAGAAGCGUGGUAUCAACCAUGCGGCCAUGUGUUUGUAGCUUUGCUGAGUCAUGUGGAUGCCGUCCCAACUCAGAUGUCGAUCAACAUCUUCACACACGCUGACAUUAUCUCCUCCACACAUUCUUUCCAAAUCGAAGUUGUAUUUACCUCCUAUUCCGCAGCAAGCCUUCUCAACCUCAUAUCCUUUCUCUUUUAAAUUAUAUAGAUGAUAAUUAUAGGUUGUGAAAUUGCAUAAGGCUAUUGAAGUAUAAAGGAGAUUAUGGAGUGAUAAUCAGAAAUUGGAAAUUAAAGAAUGAGAAAUAGAAGACACGGAGAAAGAAAAGCUAUAGUAGGAUGAAAUUGACUACAUAAGUAGUAUAAGUUACUAAUAUUUGCUAUGUUUAGAGUAGAAGGUAGAGAAGCUUGUAGUGCGAGUUGUGCAGAAAAGAAAGGACCUAGAAGAUACCGAAGCGUCGAAAGAUGAAAAACAUGCUUAUGUUCAUAAGUCGAUGAGGUGGAUAAGAAUGGGAUUGAAUUUUUGUUAGUAAACCAUUGCCUUUUCUAAGAAGAUUGAAUUCUGCAGUGUGGGUAUUGCUACUGAGCUGUAGAGCUUCCCCCUUCCUCUUCUUCCACCCUGCAGGUUAAGUGAUAUAGUUUGUAUUAGAGGAGCGCAGCGGAUGCAUCCUUGACGAGUCACUAGUCUAUUGUGGAAGUUUAGAAAAUGGUGGCAAGCUUCGUAUAAAGUUAUUGAUAGUCUUUUUCGCUGCAAAGUUUGAUAUUUUUUUUCGUGUAACGUAAUUUAUAUAUAUAUGAAAAAAACGCAUGAGUAACGGCGAUACCAGUUAGUGACAUUACUUAUUUGGUGGAUUUACCGAUCGAGUAAGGGGUGUUACACACAUAAAUCGAGAAAUUUAUUAACUA